CAUUAUAACAGCUAUAAUUUACUUGAUCUUGACACAAUCCUACUUGGAUAACUGUGGUAAUUCUAGAGCUAAUACAUGCAUUAAAGCUCUGACCUCACGGGAAGAGUGCAUUUAUUAGAACAAAACCAAGCGGCUUCGGCUGUUUCUGGUUGACUCAUAGUAACUGAGCUGAUCGCAUGGUCUUGCACCGGCGACGUGUCUUUCAAGUAUCUGCCGUAUCAACUUUCGAUGGUAGUGUAUCUGACUACCAUGGUGAUCACGCGUAACGGAGAAUAAGGGUUCGGCUCCGGAGAGUUCGCCUGAGAAAUCGCGAACACAUCUAAGGAAGGCAGCAGGCGCGAAAAUUACCCACUCUCAGCACGAGGAGGUAGUGACGAAAAAUAACGAGACCGUUCUCUUAUGAGGCCGGUCAUCGGAAUGGGUACAAUUUAAACCCUUUAACGAGUAUCUAUGAGAGGGCAAGUCUGGUGCCAGCAGCCGCGGUAAUUCCAGCUCUCAAAGUGCAUAGAAUUAUUGCUGCGGUUAAAAAGCUCGUAGUUGGAUCUGUGCCAUAGGACGUGGUCCACCUUCGGGUGCGUACUACGCUCCUAGGCUUUUUGCUGGUUUUCCCGUCGUAGCCUUCACUGGUUGCGGCGGGUGGCUGGCGAGUUUACUUUGAGAAAAUCAGAGUGCUCAAUACAGGCGUAUCGCUUGAAUGAUUGUGCAUGGAAUAAUAGAAAAGGAUUUCGGUCCUCUUUUAUUGGUUUUGUGGACUGAGAUAAUGGUUAACAGGGACAAACGGGGGCAUUCGUAUCUCUGCGUGAGAGGUGAAAUUCUUGGACCGUAGAGAGACGCCCUACUGCGAAAGCAUUUGCC
This 855-nucleotide ribosomal RNA is filed under the name Acrobeloides sp. 12 GVDU-2019. RNAcentral describes it as "SSU rRNA". It matches the Rfam family "Eukaryotic small subunit ribosomal RNA", at positions 99 to 959 of the family's 1831-position model. The record is from RNAcentral. Lineage: Eukaryota; Metazoa; Nematoda; Chromadorea; Rhabditida; Cephalobidae.